GACGAAUGCUGGCGGCGUGCUUAACACAUGCAAGUCGAACGGAAAGGCCCUGCUUUUGUGGGGUGCUCGAGUGGCGAACGGGUGAGUAACACGUGAGUAACCUGCCCUUGACUUUGGGAUAACUUCAGGAAACUGGGGCUAAUACCGGAUAGGAGCUCCUGCUGCAUGGUGGGGGUCGGAAAGUUUCGGCGGUUGGGGAUGGACUCGCGGCUUAUCAGCUUGUUGGUGGGGUAGUGGCUUACCAAGGCUUUGACGGGUAGCCGGCCUGAGAGGGUGACCGGCCACAUUGGGACUGAGAUACGGCCCAGACUCCUACGGGAGGCAGCAGUGGGGAAUAUUGCACAAUGGGCGGAAGCCUGAUGCAGCAACGCCGCGUGCGGGAUGACGGCCUUCGGGUUGUAAACCGCUUUCGCCUGUGACGAAGCGUGAGUGACGGUAAUGGGUAAAGAAGCACCGGCUAACUACGUG
Molecule: ribosomal RNA, 468 nt
Filed under: uncultured bacterium
Lineage: Bacteria
Description: partial 16S ribosomal RNA
Rfam family: Bacterial small subunit ribosomal RNA
Source: RNAcentral